This 253-nucleotide ribosomal RNA is filed under the name uncultured bacterium. Its description in RNAcentral is "partial 16S ribosomal RNA". It matches the Rfam family "Bacterial small subunit ribosomal RNA", at positions 524 to 776 of the family's 1533-position model. The record is from RNAcentral.
UACGUAGGGUGCAGGCGUUAAUCGGAAUUAUUGGGCGUAAAGAGCUCGUAGGCGGUUUGUCGCGUCUGCUGUGAAAGACCGGGGCUCAACUCCGGUUCUGCAGUGGGUACGGGCAGACUAGAGUGAUGUAGGGGAGACUGGAAUUCCUGGUGUAGCGGUGAAAUGCGCAGAUAUCAGGAAGAACACCCGUGGCGAAGGCGGUUCUCUGGGACGGUACUGACGCUGAGACGCGAAAGCGUGGGGAGCGAACAGG